This 468-nucleotide ribosomal RNA is filed under the name uncultured bacterium. RNAcentral describes it as "partial 16S ribosomal RNA". It matches the Rfam family "Bacterial small subunit ribosomal RNA", at positions 28 to 507 of the family's 1533-position model. The record is from RNAcentral.
GACGAACGCUGGCGGCGUGCUUAACACAUGCAAGUCGAACGGAAAGGCCCUGCUUUUGUGGGGUUCUCGAGUGGCGAACGGGUGAGUAACACGUGAGUAACCUGCCCUUGACUGUGGGAUAACUUCUGGAAACUGGGGCUAAUACCGGAUAGGAGCUCCUGCUGCAUGGUGGGGGUUGGAAAGUUUCGGCGGUUGUGGAUGGACUCGCGGCUUAUCAGCUUGUUGGUGGGGUAGUUGCUUACCAAGGCUUCGACGGAUAGCCGGCCUGAGAGGGUGACCGGCCACAUUGGGACUGAGAUACGGCCCAGAAUCCUACGGGAGGCAGCAGUGGGGAAUAUUGCACAAUGGGCGGAAGCCUGAUGCAGCAACGCCGCGUGCGGGAUGACGGCCUUCGGGUUGUAAACCGCUUUCGCCUGUGACGAAGCGUGAGUGACGGUAAUGGGUAAAGAAGCACCGGCUAACUACGUG